UGGGCAACCUGCCCCAGACACAGGGAUAACCCCGGGAAACCGGGGCUAAUACCGGAUACUCCGGUCGAGCCGCAUGACUCGAUUGGGAAAGCUCCGACGGUCUGGGAUGGGCCCGCGGCCUAUCAGCUUGUUGGUGGGGUAACGGCCUACCAAGGCGACGACGGGUAGCUGGUCUGAGAGGACGACCAGCCACACUGGAACUGAGAUACGGUCCAGACUCCUACGGGA
Molecule: ribosomal RNA, 228 nt
Filed under: uncultured bacterium
Lineage: Bacteria
Description: partial 16S ribosomal RNA
Rfam family: Bacterial small subunit ribosomal RNA
Source: RNAcentral